Molecule: transfer RNA, 64 nt
Filed under: Rectidens sumatrensis
Lineage: Eukaryota; Metazoa; Mollusca; Bivalvia; Unionida; Unionidae
Description: tRNA-Ile
Source: RNAcentral
UGUGUUACACCGGAUGAACGGAUUACCUUGAUGAAGUAAAAUAUGGGAAAAUCCCCUAACACUU